RNAcentral lists this ribosomal RNA (497 nucleotides) under uncultured bacterium. RNAcentral describes it as "partial 16S ribosomal RNA". It matches the Rfam family "Bacterial small subunit ribosomal RNA", at positions 28 to 507 of the family's 1533-position model. The record is from RNAcentral.
GAUGAACGCUGGCGGCGUGCCUAAUACAUGCAAGUCGAGCGAACAGACGAGGAGCUUGCUCCUCUGACGUUAGCGGCGGACGGGUGAGUAACACGUGGAUAACCUACCUAUAAGACUGGGAAAACUUCGGGAAACCGGAGCUAAUACCGGAUAAUAUAUUGAACCGCAUGGUUCAAUAGUGAAAUACGGUUUUGCUGUCACUUCUAGAUGGAUCCGCGCCGCAUUAGCUAGUUGGUAAGGUAACGGCUUACCAAGGGGACGAGGCGUUGCCGACGGGAGAGGGGGGUAGCCCGCCCGGGAACUUAGCCGCGGUCCUGACGCCUACGGGACGCCGCAGUAUGGAAUCUUCCGCAAUGGGCGAGAGUCUGACAGAGCAACGGCGCGUGAGUUGUGACGGUCUUCCGAUCGGAAAGCCCGCUUAUUAGGGGAGAACAAAUUUGUAAUUAACCGUGCACUUCUUGACGGUACCUGGUCAGAAAGCCACGGCUAACUACGUG